UCACUGGUGGCCUAGUGGUUAGAGCAUCUGCCUCUGAUGCAGGAGGUCACAAGUUCGAACCCUGGCCUGUCAU
Molecule: non-coding RNA, 73 nt
Organism: Potamilus streckersoni
Lineage: Eukaryota; Metazoa; Mollusca; Bivalvia; Unionida; Unionidae
Source: the annotation of a GenBank genome assembly